RNAcentral lists this ribosomal RNA (482 nucleotides) under uncultured bacterium. RNAcentral describes it as "partial 16S ribosomal RNA". It matches the Rfam family "Bacterial small subunit ribosomal RNA", at positions 30 to 507 of the family's 1533-position model. The record is from RNAcentral.
AUUGAACGCUGGCGGCAUGCUUUACACAUGCAAGUCGAACGGUAACAGGCCGCAAGGUGCUGACGAGUGGCGAACGGGUGAGUAAUGCAUCGGAACGUGCCCAGUCGUGGGGGAUAACUACUCGAAAGAGUAGCUAAUACCGCAUACGAUCUAUGGAUGAAAGCGGGGGACCGUAAGGCCUCGCGCGAUUGGAGCGGCCGAUGUCAGAUUAGGUAGUUGGUGGGGUAAAGGCUCAUCAAGCCAACGAUCUGUAGCUGGUCUGAGAGGACGACCAGCCACACUGGGACUGAGACACGGCCCAGACUCCUACGGGAGGCAGCAGUGGGGAAUUUUGGACAAUGGGCGCAAGCCUGAUCCAGCAAUGCCGCGUGCAGGAAGAAGGCCUUCGGGUUGUAAACUGCUUUUGUACGGAACGAAACGGCUCUGGUUAAUACCCGGGGCUAAUGACGGUACCGUAAGAAUAAGCACCGGCUAACUACGUG